Long non-coding RNA from Triticum dicoccoides, 2768 nucleotides. RefSeq lists it as uncharacterized. NCBI's taxonomy places the organism in Eukaryota, Viridiplantae, Streptophyta, Magnoliopsida, Poales, Poaceae. The transcript has 12 exons. The record is from RefSeq and is a predicted model, not a curated record.
UACCAACAGCAAUCGGGAUGACGUGGCAUGAUUAGCGUGGGAUUACUGUAGCUUGAUUACCCCGGCGUCACAGAUUAAACCUGAGAGCCCCGAAGAUAUGAUCCUAUACGAAGCUCCUACGGCAGUAGCCUCCACAGAUAUACUUCUGCCUGAUCAUGUGCACAUUCAGCCAUCCGCGGGGCUUGAUCCUACUCAAGGAGUGACUGACACUGACGAUGGUUACGCUUUGCGCCUGCAAGCUGCAGAAUAUGCUAUUGACAUUACAUGUACAGAGCCUAGUGCAGGGCAUUUGGAGCAGAAUGCCAAUGUUCUUUCAGAACAAAGAGAAUCUCCCAUUCACAACAAUAAAUAUGAAGGAGAGGAGCCAUUCAUUUAUGACUCAACAAGUGGAGGAUCAUUUGGUUCGUGGACUAACUCCGAUAGUCCUUCAAGCAGUGAUGAUAUUAAUUGGGAAGCAUAUGUAGAGGAUUUGGAGACAAACUCGCAACAUGAGCAAAGCCAACAAGAGACCACUGACCACAUACUCGCUGAAAAUCUGCAAGCAUUGUACGAGGGGAACGCUGUCGCAACUGAGGACAUCAACAACGCCACUACUCCAGCUGCUGGUCAAGAAGACACCGGAGGACACGACGAGAUAAAUGCUCCAGCAGCUGGCGACAUCAACAACCCUACUACUCCAGCUGCUAAUGAAGAAGACACAGGAGGACACAAUGAGAUGAAUGCUCCGACUAUAACAACCGACGCUGGCUUACUGUUGUUGAUGGACUAGUGGCAGUGGGAUCAAGCCCAAGCGAUUCGAAAAUGAUCAUAGAACAUCAAGGAUGCGAUGGCAAAUCCCAAGCACAUGAAGGCGAAGGCCGCACUCAUGGUGAUUCCCCUGUUUUUGAAGUUGAAACUUUAUACAUUGCAAACAGCUCCGCUGAUACUGAUUCCCAUUAGUACUAAUUCCCCCUAUGUACAUGCAUACAACAUCUGCACCUGUUAGUAUCUCUCUUGUGCCAGGUGGCGCUACACAUGACAUUUGUGCCAGCAUUAGCCCGGAGUAUGUCCUGGUGCGUAGUGGUGAUGACCGCAGAGCCAGCUGCUUGCCAAGAAGGAUGGUCACUUUCGAUGAACACUUGCAGCGCACCCCCCGCAACACAUGGGGACAGGUGAUGAGGCGGUUGUUGAUGAUGGUGGUGUUCUGCUAUUGGGACAGCACGCUACACACCAUGGAGCAUUGGCGCGAAGCGUGGUCCCCUCAGUCCAUGAACAAGGAGAGAGCUCAGCUGGUCAGAUGCAUCAUCAACCUAGACGAUGGGACGAUGGCAAGCAGAAAACAUAUGCUAUACUACUUUCAUUUUGCAAAGAAACAGUGGCUCCACUCAUUUUGUUGAUGAUUGCGGAACAGGGGUGCAAGCAAUGAAUGCUGAACUAAACAGAGGACAAGAUCGCCCAAAUGUACGAAUUCAGUGGGGUGAAAAGUUCCCAGGGCACGUCGGUUUGUCACACGACGAGCCACCCCCCGGUCUGUCCUUCGCUUCUAUGAUGAAAUGUUGAGAGGAAGCGACCGAAAUCUUUCAAGGAAGUGGUUCCGUCACUUCGUGUUCCGCGUUGCGGUGAUGUCUGGGCAUGACAUACAACAGGAAUUUAGGCCUGGGGGCGAGAUAAGCCAUGUGGGAUGGAGGUGUAUCCACAAGAUGCUGUCAGAGAAGGAGCGCAAGAUGUACAGAGACUGGUUGGCACGAUGGAGGGUGUUCUUCGACUCAGUGUUUGCGAUGAGACAAAUAAAACUUUAGUUCAUCCUUUGAUCAUAUUGUAAUGGGUAUAUCAUGCAUAUCGGGUCAGCUUGACUAAAUGCCCAAAUAACUAUCGCAGGAUGAGCUCCUUCAGCAUGAGUUCGACAUUGAUCUGGAGCUGAUAAGGGAGAUGCUAAGCCAAAAUCAUCUAGGUUGCAGAGCUGAAUGGUCCAAAAUGUUCAUGUUCCCUGUCUAGCUGGCGCGUACAUGGUCUCUCUAUGUGCUUGACGUAGAACAUAAGAAAUUCUUGGUGAUGGACCCUACGGAGACCAGCAGCGGCAACAUGAAGCUGAAGCAUGAGGAUAGUGCAAAGUUGUUUCUCAAGGGGUUCUGCUGGUGCCUAAACAAUAUCUACCCCGGUGGUUUGGUUGGAUCACUUAACUCGACCUUCAAUUACAACACGGGGAUGCAUCCUCCAUGCUCAAGGCAAAACAGUGGGAUAUACAUGGUGCACUACCUCAGGGACUACAAUGGCCUUUACAUUCAUACACUGACUAAUGGUGAGCUGGAGUACUUGAGGAAGAAGCUCGCCUAUGAGAUCGUUGCGAUGAGAGGCAACAAGGGUGACUUCCCCGACUUCAUGUACACGGAGAUUAUUGAGUGAGUCAUGUCAGAAAAUCAUGCAAGUGCGUCGACGGUACUUUUGGUGGAGAACUAGGCCAUGAACGACCUUUUGGGAGACAAAAACGAGUACAUCCAGAUACCGGGCAGAUAGGCAUGCGUUUCACCUUCCAUUCGGCUGAACAACCGUACUGCUUUAAUUUCUAUUUUAUGUUGAACUAAGUAUGAAAUGUGGCCCCAUCUGAGCUGGGGGGUACCUAAAUUAUGUAGUGCUAUCUGUACGUUAAACUUAAGUCUGGAGUGUCUGAACCAAUAUCGCCUACGGGUGAACUAAUGUCUGGUCAUCUAUUUGUGCAUGUAAAGAUCCUUGAGCAAAUGAUGUGGGCAAACACGUGAAGUCCGCCGUCGAUUCCAUUUGGUGGCGAACUA